GACCGAUUUUGCGAUUUCAAAUCGAAAUCGGAAAAUUCUUACAAAUUCGAUAACCGGAGCAUGCCCGACUAUUAUUAAUAAAUUUAUUUUAGACUACGAAAGCCACACACGAUAGUUCACGAAUUAUCACCUCUAGUCCGAGAUCGCCCCGUUAGCCAGGAAGAAUAACCUUACACGACCGUUUCCUGACUGCAUCUUUAUGGUUUCGAGAAAAUAUAGAGGCUUCAGGAGCUGUGAAAAUCCGGUCACAAGCUGUCGAAGUACUAUGCUAACCCAAUAAACUGUUACGAAUCUUGGAGCUGGCAAAGCAUUAAAUGAUACCAUUUACACGCAUUUGGACUUAAUCCUAAAUAUUCUACAGAAGUUCUUAAGUCCUUAAACAUUUUUCAGCAAUGAAUGAAAACCCAGCCUUUCGUAGAGUAUCUAACACAAUCUAUUACCUCUCAAGUGCGGAUUCCUAUUAACAGUAAAGGAAACUUGUCGGCAACUGUAUUUGAAUUUAAACGCGCACCCGUCGACAAGGUAACGGUCAGUAAGAACACGCAGAAAGCAGAUAGAACUAGUCAGUGAGUGUCGAAGUGGACAUACAAGGACGAUCACUGCAAGCUGCCCCUAUGACAUCCUGAGCCCCUUUCGAGUCGACAGGUGAUCCCUUGGCAGAAACGACAAGGGCCUGGAGUGGUUAGAAGGGACAGUGGUUGGCAAAGGUGGUCCUGGGAAAAGCGUUGGCUUGACGUAACGGACGAUACACCCUGCCCUAUUACAUCUAAGAGGAGCUGGCUUAGUUGAUCUUGGAUCGGAACAAAUGUUUCCAGGUGAAUCUUCGAGCGCAGGUGGUGGAUGCUGCGAGUUUGUCGGAUGUAGCACUCCACCCUCCGUUGUACUAUUGUUAUGCACUGCAACGUUGAGUACAAUCGGGCAACUCCCUCUUGGAGCUGCAACCGAAUCCGCUGUUUUGAAGCCUCAUUAUUAUUAUUUUUUUUUUGACUUCUGAAAGCUGGGCUUAGUGGUCCUCCUUAUAUAUCGGGAAUGGUUUGGAAUCAAGGCUACGUUUUUAGGUGACAUACAAGUCUUUCACAUGCCACGACACUUUUGCCCUGCUCAUAUGAAACUUUACUCUUAAGUUGUGACGGCUAGUCGGGGAUUGGACAGCUCAGGGGUUGGUCCAGGUUCGUCGCAGAUGUGGUUGCUGGAAGAGAAAGCCGACCCGGGCCAGAGUAAAACUCAGGAGUCCGCAUCGGGCUCCUCUCGGUGGGCUUGGCGUCCGGUGAGGGUGUCGUGUCGCUGCGUUAUGAUGAGUGGCUGCCGUCAGUGGUUUCGAGUCGCCUUGUUCGGCUGGGAAGUAAAAGAAGAACAGGCGCUCUCGGCCUGUCGCUGUACGAGCCAUAGA
Long non-coding RNA from Drosophila mauritiana, 1390 nucleotides. RefSeq lists it as uncharacterized. The record is from RefSeq and is a predicted model, not a curated record. The transcript is spliced from 3 exons. Lineage: Eukaryota; Metazoa; Arthropoda; Insecta; Diptera; Drosophilidae.